Long non-coding RNA from Canis lupus familiaris (dog), 2376 nucleotides. RefSeq lists it as uncharacterized. The transcript is spliced from 3 exons. The record is from RefSeq and is a predicted model, not a curated record. NCBI's taxonomy places the organism in Eukaryota, Metazoa, Chordata, Mammalia, Carnivora, Canidae.
CGCGGCUCCGCGCGCAGCGGGCAUGCGCGAGCGUGUAGGCCGGGUCACUGGAGGCGCCGGCGCAAGCGCAGAUGGGGACCGCUCGGCGUCCGCCGCCCCUCCCCCACUCACUGAAGAGCUCCGAGGGAGCACCCUCAAAUAGCAACCUGCCUCCUUGACGCGCCACCUCCGCGACCGAAGGGCUCCCUCCACAGGGGUGCGCUCACGCUGUCAACGCCGUCGCUAUGCUGCGUCACGGCAUCGUCCAAAUGGUCGAAAACGCCUCAGCCUUCAACGCGCAACCACCGGGGAACCGCCACAACCUAGGCUGCCCGGUCACCGCCCCCUCUGCCGUUUCCAGUUCUUUCAUUGGGUCAUCGGCCAAGCCCCGGGCGGGUCCAGACGGGAGCUUCCGGAAGUUGGUUCGCAUUCAUGUCUGUCAAUCAAGCGGUCGCCUUGGCUACUGCGUCCGUCACUUAAUUAGCUGCGUGGAGGGCGUCGAGGACCCCUGAAGGGUGAAAUGGGUGGCUACGUAAGUGCCUGAGUGGAGACGCCAACGGAGAAAAGCCCUCAGACUCUUUAGGAAACUUCUGAAACCAGCAGAAACUUCUCAAACUGCGGGCCCGAGAGCACCGGGCCCCAGCUCUGCGUCCAGACGGCGACGGCCCGGGACGCUGGACUCACUGAGGGGGCACCUCCCUGCCCCCCACCCCCGCCGCCUCCCGGCCGCCCGGCCGCCGGGAGUGGACGUUCCACGAGUCACGUCCCGGUGGCGGCGUGCGCAGCCGCGGACGCGCGGGGUUUUGGCGUCCGUCUUGCUCCGGGCUGGAGAUGGGUACAGGCGCUCCUCCUCUGAACGGCAGAAGGAAACUCAAAGGGACCAGUAGGCUCAGGGUGGAGGCAGAGCUCUAGAUGAUGACGAGGGACAGUUCAAAGUUUUGAAGCCGUGCAGUCGGACCGGGUGCGUGCGAGAGCAGAGGCGUGGCGGCUCCGCGCAGGGGCGGGACCCCAGCCGGGGCUUUCUUUCCGAGAACUUCCCGCGGCUCCCGGGAUCCAGUUCAUCUGUUCUGUUGGCGUUCAGAGCCUUUGUUCGAGACCUUCCCGGCCUCGCUUCAUCGUCCCUGUCCGCGAACUCAGCGCCCGCCGGCCGCGCUCUGGCGCUGCCCGGGUCUGCAGAAACCCCGUCACGCCUCCUGGCCUUUGCCCAAGCGGUUUCUUCCUCCAGCACUGCUAGCCCCCUUCCACCCAUCUCCUUCAUUCUGAUUUUUGGGGGCUCGCCUCACCUUCCUAGCAGCCUCCCCGGAUACUGAAAUGAAGUGCCAUCUCUGGCUUCACGAUCUGGCCUGGACAUCUGCCUUCAGCCUGGCCUCCCUGGCCGUUUGCCCCCAGCCCGUGUGUUUCUGCAUCCUCUCCGCCGCCGCCCCUCCCCCCAACUUGCCAACCACCGAACUGACAGGCCCGGGUUUGGUUCUUGACCUCCUGACAGAGCUGUAUGACCCUGGGCAAGUGACUUGCCCUCUCUGAAUCUCAGUCUUCUGGUCUGUAAAGUGGAAUAACCUUAGUACCCACCUCAUUUGGUAGUUGUGAGAACGAAAUGACGUCAUGAAUGUUAACCAGAGGGGAUUGCACACCUCUAGUCAGGGUCUCAGUUUCCAAACUGAAGAGCCUGUCGGUUCCUGUGGGGAGAUGUGGGUUGUGUCCUUUGCUGGGCAAGGCAAGGCCAGCAGGGCCCGUGGCAUGGGGAAUCCCGGACACCUGGGACUCCAGCAUUGUCCCCAAGCUCCCUGCUGGGCCACCUUCCUUCCCAAGAAGCAGUAGGUGCUGGGGAAUAUGGAGCAGGCACCAAGUCUGUAGCUGCUUUGCCAGCUACUCAGCAACUGCAUGGAUGGAGGAAUGGCUGCCAGGCACACAGUUUAUGUGCACAGAAAUGACUAAGGUCACAAUCCAAGCUGAGCAGCAGUGCAGGGAGCACUCAAGGAAGACAGGUGGAAUUUGCCAGAGGCCACAUGACAUGUGAGAUAGGGCAGACUGCCUGCAGAAGCACAUCUGAGGAUCCAGCUGUCUUCUAUUAAGCCAGUUGCUAAAGAGAUGUGCAAAAGGUAAAACAACGCCACUCUCCUCACUAAAACUUUUUGGGAAAAUAGUUGUUUUUUUUUCUAUAAGUAGUUUGUAUUAAUGUGUAAUUUAAUCUAUGUUCCUUGAAUUAUAAUUGUUUCUCACCUGUUAUUAUAAUUACUAUUACAUACAAUUACUUAUAUGAACGUAUAAUACAUUAUCCUUACUUUUCAAAUAAUAAAUCAAUAUUUUAAGUCGUUUCUCAAUUUCAAUUUUGAAUAGGGUUAAGUAUAUCAAUAGUGUGACCCACAUAAACGAAAGCUCUUUGGGGUCCAAUUUUUA